This 241-nucleotide ribosomal RNA is filed under the name Ophiostoma retusum. Its description in RNAcentral is "ribosomal RNA large subunit". It matches the Rfam family "Eukaryotic large subunit ribosomal RNA", at positions 101 to 346 of the family's 3401-position model. Lineage: Eukaryota; Fungi; Ascomycota; Sordariomycetes; Ophiostomatales; Ophiostomataceae. The record is from RNAcentral.
GCAACAGCUCAAAUUUGAAAUCUGGCCUUCGGGUCCGAGUUGUAAUUUGGAGAGGAUGUUUCUGGCAAGGCGCCGUCCGAGUUCCUUGGAACAGGACGCCAUAGAGGGUGAGAGCCCCGUACCGGCGGAUGCUAGCCUUUGUGAAACUCCUUCGACGAGUCGAGUAGUUUGGGAAUGCUGCUCAAAAUGGGAGGUAAAUUUCUUCUAAAGCUAAAUAUUGGCCAGAGACCGAUAGCGCACA